UGCCGGGUCUUACGCAAUGAAAUUUUGUGAACCCCGUCAGGUCCGGGAGGAAGCAGCGGUAAGCGAACCCUUUCGUGUGCCGUAAGCCCCCCGGCGGUA
RNAcentral lists this signal recognition particle RNA (99 nucleotides) under Clostridia bacterium. RNAcentral's name for it is "signal recognition particle sRNA small type". It matches the Rfam family "Bacterial small signal recognition particle RNA". Rfam says of the family: The signal recognition particle (SRP) is a universally conserved ribonucleoprotein involved in the co-translational targeting of proteins to membranes. Archaeal SRP consists of a 7S RNA and homologues of the eukaryotic SRP19 and SRP54 proteins. The record is from RNAcentral. Lineage: Bacteria; Bacillati; Bacillota; Clostridia.